GUAGGGUGCAAGCGUUAAUCGGAAUUACUGGGCGUAAAGCGUACGCAGGCGGCUAUGUAAGACAGGCGUGAAAUCCCCGGGCCCAACCUGGGAACUGCGCUUGUGACUGCAUAGCUGGAGUCCGUAAGAGGGGGGUGGAAUUCCACGUGUAGCAGUGAAAUGCGUAGAGAUGUGGAGGAACACCGAUGGCGAAGGCAGCCCCCUGGGAUGAGACUGACGCUCAUGUACGAAAGCGUGGGGAGCAAACAGGAUUAGAUACCCUGGUAGUCCACGCCCUAAACGAUGUCGACUAGUUGUCGGGUCUUUACAGACUUGGUAACGCAGCUAACGCGUGAAGUCGACCGCCUGGGGAGUACGGUCGCAAGAUUA
RNAcentral lists this ribosomal RNA (369 nucleotides) under uncultured bacterium. Its description in RNAcentral is "bacterial SSU rRNA". It matches the Rfam family "Bacterial small subunit ribosomal RNA", at positions 527 to 896 of the family's 1533-position model. The record is from RNAcentral.